Molecule: ribosomal RNA, 301 nt
Filed under: uncultured bacterium
Lineage: Bacteria
Description: partial 16S ribosomal RNA
Rfam family: Bacterial small subunit ribosomal RNA
Source: RNAcentral
CAGUCGCCGCGGUAAUACGAAGGGGGCUAGCGUUGCUCGGAAUGACUGGGCGUAAAGGGCGCGUAGGCGGAUGGCACAGUCAGAUGUGAAAUUCCCGGGCUUAACCUGGGGGCUGCAUUUGAUACGUGUUGUCUAGAGUGAGGAAGAGGGUCGUGGAAUCCCCAGUGUAGAGGUGAAAUUCGUAGAUAUUGGGAAGAACACCGGUGGCGAAGGCGGCGACCUGGUCCUUUACUGACGCUGAGGUGCGAAAGCGUGGGGAGCGAACAGGAUUAGAUACCCCAGUAGUCCCUGUCUCUUAUAC